UAAACAAAAACAUGAUCCGAAAUCUGAACGUCAAUUUUCAUGAUUAUUUCACGACGAAGAUCCUCACAUCAAUGAAUCAAAUAAUACGGACAUGCCUUUGGUAUUAGCAGUGUGCGUGUUUCGUAUCGUUCAGCCAAUUUUGCAUUGUUUUUUAACUUUGAUGCUUUUGACAAUCACUCGUAAGUUCAAAGUAAAAUCAAAGUUGUCAUAAUAAUGGAAAGUUGUUUUCAGUAUCUAUGUACCAGUGUGUACAUGUACAACUUUCACAUUGAAAUUUUAGGGUGCUUUCACCAUAUGCAACGAUACUUUCAUCUGUGAAUACCCACUUUCUAAGCCCACCAUGAACUACGAAGGUCAAUUAAUAUGUAAGGACACCAAUGAACAGACACUUUCCAAUUAUGGUACAUCAUAUACAUGGGUGGUCAAACUCACUGGAUGGUUUAUCAACACUCCCAUGCUAACGAACAGGCUUGCCCCAGGAAUUUUGCCCUGAAGUAACAUUGCAGUCUAUUGUCUCCUUUCUUUUUACAACCCUGGCAGCCAUGCAGGAUAGAGGCUGAUCACUUGUACUUGACAGCAAAUAAUAAUGUCUUGGACAAGUCAAAGAAUUUCUUCCAGUCUUACAGAGAAAUGACAGUUGAUAAAAGAAUGGUGGACACAAAGUAAAAGUGCUCUUCAACAUUUUGUUGAAGAUUUCAGUCUGAUUUGGAAUUCAUCUUGCAAUAUUUCUGGAUUUGUAUAUUUGGAUAUAAGCGUCAAAUUUUCAACUUAUUGACUAAACAGUUUUGCGUUAAAUAUUGCCAAUGCUAUCUAUUAUUAUUAUUUCCCUCCAAGAUAACAUGUCAAGUCUUUAUUGUACCCCUUAAGCUCUGUUAUACCAGAAAAAUCUUGUAAUGAAAUCAUUUAGUUUUUUUUUUUUGUUUGAUUAAAUCCAUGAAAAUAAAGAUUAUUUUUAAUGGCAUCAAGAGAAUGGAUUUCUUGUUUAACAAAAAGAUAGUAUACAUGUUUUGCUAGGGCUUUGUAAGAAGCAGACCAGAAUUCUUUGCUUGCAAAUUUUGUCAUUCGCCAUUUUUAUUAAUUACGUCAUCUAUUAGAUGAUUUAUCCAUGUUUGAAGCAUUUCAAAAUUCAUAUUUACUUACAGUUGAAAGCAGAAUUCUGUACUGAUAUGACCUUGACCCUCUGAAGAACAAGAGUGUCAA
Long non-coding RNA from Saccostrea cuccullata (small rock oyster), 1200 nucleotides. RefSeq lists it as uncharacterized. Lineage: Eukaryota; Metazoa; Mollusca; Bivalvia; Ostreida; Ostreidae. The record is from RefSeq and is a predicted model, not a curated record. The transcript has 4 exons.